Molecule: ribosomal RNA, 784 nt
Filed under: uncultured Neocallimastigales
Lineage: Eukaryota; Fungi; Neocallimastigomycota; Neocallimastigomycetes; Neocallimastigales
Description: partial large subunit ribosomal RNA
Rfam family: Eukaryotic large subunit ribosomal RNA
Source: RNAcentral
CUAUACAUGACUCUGCGCAUAUCAAUAAGCGGAGGAAAAGAAACUAACAAGGAUUCCCUUAGUAACGGCGAGUGAGGCGGGAAGAGCUCAAAUUUGAAAUCUUCAAGGGUUCUACCUUGACGAAUUGUAGUUUAUAAGAAGUGUUUUCUGUUAGUAGAGGUGGCUAAAAGUUCUUUGGAAGUAGGACAUCAUAGAGGGUGAGAAUCCCGUAUUUGAUCACUUUCUACUAACGUUGUGAUACACUUUCAAAGAGUCGGAUUGUUUGGGAAUGCAGUCCAAAAUGGGUGGUAAAUUUCAUCUAAAGCUAAAUAUUGGCGAGAGUACCGAUAGCGAACAAGUACCGUGAGGGAAAGAUGAAAAGAACUUUGAAAAGAGAGUUAAACAGUACGUGAAAUUGUCAAAAGGGAAGCGUUUGACACCAGUGUUGUUUUUCCGAAAAUCAAUUACUGAAUGGUUUGAUUUUAGAGUUCAUGACCUUCAAUCGCUUGCUUCUUUUCUUACGUACUUUCGUAAUGCACUUUUCGGUUAACAAGUCAACAUCAAUUUCUUUUGUUGUAAAAGGGUAAUGAGGAAGGUGGCUUUACUUUCGGAGUAAAGUGUUUAUAGCCUUUUAGCCUCUGCAAUCGGAGAGAUUGAGGUCUGCAGCGUAGAUCCUUCGGGGUUAGAUACGUUUGUGCUAAGUUAUAGCUUUUCAUAGACAACUUGUUGACUAUGUUUAGUCUUGUGACUUACUCGCUUACGCUAUUUUACCUACGCUUAGGAUGUUGAUAUGCAUGACUGAUAU